Molecule: non-coding RNA, 571 nt
Organism: Drosophila melanogaster (fruit fly)
Lineage: Eukaryota; Metazoa; Arthropoda; Insecta; Diptera; Drosophilidae
Source: Ensembl
AGUCACAUUUAAAGUUCUGAAACUGCGUUCAGUAUGCCAUAAUAGUAAUCCAUAUAGCACAUAUCAACUAUAACGGCCAACAAGAACUCGAUUUUGUUUGAUAAACAGAAAGGGAUUGGCAACACAAACCCCUGGGACGAAAGACCAGAAAGGAGAGUGUGGGGCCAACACAAAGUAAUUGAUUGUUUAUGGUCGUACAAUUUAUGUGUGCCACAACAUCGAGGCAGAAGGAGUAGUGGAAAAUAUUGACCAUUUGCUAAACGAUAAUUCAAAAUGUUAAAUCGACAAUUUCAAUUUGAGAACGCGAGAAGUGUGGGGCCUUCCCCAGAGACUGCUGCACUCGGAAACUUCGCACAUGACUCCCUGGCUGUAAAUAUAAACAUAAACUCUCCACUUAAUAAAGGCGAGUGCCCUGCCACGUCCCCAGCCCCUGUCCCAUGCCCCAUGCCCCAACAUUAACCCCAUCUGGCCCCGCUGGAAUCAAUCGAACGUGUAAUAAAAUGCAAUUUUUGCAGCGUCGUCUCCAACUCGGCCGAUAAAACUGACUGCCUGAGUUUUUUUAUUUUUGCUC